RNAcentral lists this ribosomal RNA (550 nucleotides) under Massilia haematophila. Its description in RNAcentral is "bacterial SSU rRNA". It matches the Rfam family "Bacterial small subunit ribosomal RNA", at positions 742 to 1297 of the family's 1533-position model. Lineage: Bacteria; Pseudomonadati; Pseudomonadota; Betaproteobacteria; Burkholderiales; Oxalobacteraceae. The record is from RNAcentral.
GACGCUCAUGCACGAAAGCGUGGGGAGCAAACAGGAUUAAAUACCCUGGUAGUCCACGCCCUAAACGAUGUCUACUAGUUGUCGGGUUUUAAUUAACUUGGUAACGCAGCUAACGCGUGAAGUAAACCGCCUGGGGAGUACGGUCGCAAGAUUAAAACUCAAAGGAAUUGACGGGGACCCGCACAAGCGGGGGAUGAUGUGGAUUAAUUCGAUGCAACGCGAAAAACCUUACCUACCCUUGACAUGUCAGGAAUCCUCGAGAGAUCGGGGAGUGCCCGAAAGGGAACCUGAACACAGGUGCUGCAUGGCUGUCGUCAGCUCGUGUCGUGAGAUGUUGGGUUAAGUCCCGCAACGAGCGCAACCCUUGUCAUUAGUUGCUACGCAAAAGCACUCUAAUGAGACUGCCGGUGACAAACCGGAGGAAGGUGGGGAUGACGUCAAGUCCUCAUGGCCCUUAUGGGUAGGGCUUCACACGUCAUACAAUGGUACAUACAGAGGGCCGCCAACCCGCGAGGGGGAGCUAAUCCCAGAAAGUGUAUCGUAGUCCGGA